ACGGGUGAGUAACGCGUGGGAAUCUACCCAUCUCUACGGAACAACUCCGGGAAACUGGAGCUAAUACCGUAUACGUCCUUCGGGAGAAAGAUUUAUCGGAGAUGGAUGAGCCCGCGUUGGAUUAGCUAGUUGGUGGGGUAAUGGCCUACCAAGGCGACGAUCCAUAGCUGGUCUGAGAGGAUGAUCAGCCACACUGGGACUGAGACACGGCCCAGACUCCUACGGGAGGCAGCAGUGGGGAAUAUUGGACAAUGGGCGCAAGCCUGAUCCAGCCAUGCCGCGUGAGUGAUGAAGGCCCUAGGGUUGUAAAGCUCUUUCAACGGUGAAGAUAAUGACGGUAACCGUAGAAGAAGCCCCGGCUAACUUCGUGCCAGCAGCCGCGGUAAUACGAAGGGGGCUAGCGUUGUUCGGAAUUACUGGGCGUAAAGCGCACGUAGGCGGAUACUUAAGUCAGGGGUGAAAUCCCGGGGCUCAACCCCGGAACUGCCUUUGAUACUGGGUAUCUCGAGUCCGGAAGAGGUGAGUGGAA
This 529-nucleotide ribosomal RNA is filed under the name Rhizobium sp. GB17. RNAcentral's name for it is "bacterial SSU rRNA". It matches the Rfam family "Bacterial small subunit ribosomal RNA", at positions 102 to 666 of the family's 1533-position model. The record is from RNAcentral. Lineage: Bacteria; Pseudomonadati; Pseudomonadota; Alphaproteobacteria; Hyphomicrobiales; Rhizobiaceae.